RNAcentral lists this ribosomal RNA (467 nucleotides) under uncultured bacterium. Its description in RNAcentral is "partial 16S ribosomal RNA". It matches the Rfam family "Bacterial small subunit ribosomal RNA", at positions 28 to 507 of the family's 1533-position model. The record is from RNAcentral.
GACGAACGCUGGCGGCGUGCUUAACACAUGCAAGUCGAACGGAAAGGCCUCAUCUUUCUUGGGUACUCUAUUGGCGAACGCGUGUGUAUCACGUGUGUGAUCUCCCUUUCACUCUCUGAUAUCCUUUGGAAACUGGGUCUAAUACCGGAUAUGAUCUGCCUUUAGUUUGGUUGUUGUAAAGUUUUUUCGGUGCAAGAUGAGCUCGCGGGCUAUCAGCUUGUUGGUGGGGUAAUGGCCUACCAAGGCGUCGACGGGUAGCCGGCCUGGGGGGGUGUACGGCGAAAUUGGGAAUGAGAGAAGGCACAGACAGGGAAGGGGGGAAGAAGGGGGGAAGAAUGAAAAAUGGGAGGAAGGCUGAUGAAGAGAGGCGGAGUGGGGGAAGACGGGGUUAGGGUUGAAAAAAAAAUGGGAAAGGGAAGAAGCAUGUUGUGACGGUAACUGAAAAAGAAGCAACGGCUAACUACGUG